Molecule: non-coding RNA, 797 nt
Filed under: Milichus apicalis
Lineage: Eukaryota; Metazoa; Arthropoda; Insecta; Coleoptera; Scarabaeidae
Source: RNAcentral
AAAAAAUUUGAUUCUAGUUUAGUAUUUUAGUUUAUAUUUCAAUUAUAUGUAAAUUUGAGUAAAAAAUUUUUAAUUUAAAUAGAUAAAAAUUUAAUAAUAUUAAUCAAUAAUUAAAUUUAUACAAUAAAAGAAAUUUUGAUAUAGGAAUAUAUAAGAGUAUUGAUAAAAUUUGUGCCAGCAAUCGCGGUUAAACAAAUAAUACAAUUAAAUUUUAUUUAAUAAUAAUGAAUAAGAAUUAAAUUAAUUUAAAAUUAAAUUUAUUAGGUGAAAUUAUAAAUUUAAAUAAAAUUAAAAUAAAAUUUAUGAAUUUAUGAAAAUUUUUUAUUAGACUAGGAUUAGAUACCCUAUUAUAAAAAUUAUAAAAUUUAGAAAUAUUAGAGUAGUAAUAGUUUAUGUUCUUGAAAUUUAAAGAAUUUGGCGGUAUUUUAGUCUAUUUAGAGGAACCUGUCCUAUAAUUUGAUAAUCCACGAUUAAUUUUACUUAAUUUAAUAGUUUAUAUAUCGUCGUAAUUUGAAUAUCUUAAAAGAGUAAAUAAUAUUCAAAAUUUAAUAUAAAUAAAAUAAAUCAGAUCAAGGUGUAGCUUAUAAUUAAGGAGAGAUGGGUUACAAUAAAUUUAUUUAGAUGGAUAUAAUAUUUAAAAAUAUUUAUUGAAAUUGGAUUUAAGAGUAAUAUAUUUAAGUUAAAAUAUAUGAUUUUAAGCUCUAAAAUAUGUACAUAUUGCCCGUCGCUUUCAUUGAAUAUUAAAGUGAAAUAAGUCGUAACAUAGUGGGUGUACCGGAAGGUGUGUCUAGGCAGCU